GAUGAAGAACGCAGCGAAAUGCGAUACGUAAUGUGAAUUGCAGAUCUCUCAGUGAACCAUCGAAUCUUUGAACGCACAUUGCGCCCGCCAGCACUCUGGCGGGCAUGCCUGUCCGAGCGUCAUUUCAACCCUCAGGGCCCCUUCGGGGGACCUGGCGUUGGGGAUCGGCCCGCCCCCGUGCGGCGCCGUCCCCGAAAUAUAGUGGCGGUCUCGCUGCAGCCUCCCCUGCGUAGUAGCACACCUCGCACUGGAGAGCGGCGCGGCCACGCCGUGAAACCCCCAACUUCUGAAUGUUGACCUCGGAUCAGGUAGGAAUACCCGCUGAACUUAAGCAUAUCAAUAGCGGAGGA
Molecule: unclassified non-coding RNA, 350 nt
Filed under: soil metagenome
Description: partial contains 5.8S ribosomal RNA, internal transcribed spacer 2, and large subunit ribosomal RNA
Rfam family: 5.8S ribosomal RNA (bases 1-122)
Source: RNAcentral